UACGUAGGGUGCAAGCGUUGUCCGGAAUUAUUGGGCGUAAAGAGCUCGUAGGCGGUUUGUUGCGUCGGCUGUGAAAUCCCGAGGCUCAACCUCGGGUCUGCAGUCGAUACGAGCAAACUAGAGUGUUGCAGGGGAGACUGGAAUUCCUGGUGUAGCGGUGAAAUGCGCAGAUAUCAGGAGGAGCACCGGUGGCGAAGGCGGGUCUCUGGGCAACAACUGACGCUCAUGCACGAAAGCGUGGGGAUCAAACAGG
Molecule: ribosomal RNA, 253 nt
Filed under: uncultured bacterium
Lineage: Bacteria
Description: partial 16S ribosomal RNA
Rfam family: Bacterial small subunit ribosomal RNA
Source: RNAcentral